UUUCCGUAGGUGAACCUGCGGAAGGAUCAUUAUCGAGUUUACAACUCCCAAACCCCUAUGUGAACGUUACCAAACUGUUGCCUCGGCGGGAAAUUCAUGCCCCGGGCGCGUCGCAGCCCCGGACCAAGGCGCCCGCCGGAGGACCAACCAAAACUCUUUUGUAUGUCCCUCGCGGACUUUUAUAAUUCUGAACCAUCUCGGCGCCCCUAGCGGGCGUUUCGAAAAUGAAUCAAAACUUUCAACAACGGAUCUCUUGGCUCUC
This 262-nucleotide unclassified non-coding RNA is filed under the name plant metagenome. RNAcentral's name for it is "partial contains small subunit ribosomal RNA, internal transcribed spacer 1, and 5.8S ribosomal RNA". The record is from RNAcentral.